GACGAACGCUGGCGGCGUGCUUAACACAUGCAAGUCGAGCGGAAAGGCCCUUUCGGGGGUACUCGAGCGGCGAACGGGUGAGUAACACGUGAGUAAUCUGCCCUUGGCUUUGGGAUAACCACCGGAAACGGUGGCUAAUACCGGAUAUGACGGGCUCCGGCAUCGGGGUUCGUGGAAAGUUUUUCGGCCAGGGAUGUGCUCGCGGCCUAUCAGCUUGUUGGUGGGGUAAUGGCCUACCAAGGCUUCGACGGGUAGCCGGCCUGAGAGGGUGACCGGCCACACUGGGACUGAGACACGGCCCAGACUCCUACGGGAGGCAGCAGUGGGGGAUAUUGGACAAUGGGCGGAAGCCUGAUCCAGCAACGCCGCGUGAGGGAUGACGGCCUCGGUUGUAACGUAC
RNAcentral lists this ribosomal RNA (400 nucleotides) under uncultured bacterium. RNAcentral describes it as "bacterial SSU rRNA". It matches the Rfam family "Bacterial small subunit ribosomal RNA", at positions 28 to 433 of the family's 1533-position model. The record is from RNAcentral.